ACAAAUAGAACAUAACUUAACUUACAUGUAGCUACGUGACAAUAUAUUUUUUUAAAGUUAUCUGGGGAAUUUUCCGGACAGAAACGUAGCAACAAUAUUCGUUCUACGAAUAGCUCUUUGCAUUUAGUUUCGAAAGUUGUAACGCGCAUAACGCGGUGUCAUUUUGUAUCGUUGCCAAACCCGAAAACAUUAGUAUGACGCGGUUUAGUGGUCCUUUAACCUCUAAUUAAUGUGUUGGUACUAUGUUCUCAUCGAUCCGUUAUACUCUAUCUGCGGCGUUUUAACGAAAAAUUGCACCAGGAACGGAAUAGGUGCGAGUGGUCGCGGAUCGAUGCAAGAAAAAGCAACACCACCUUCACGAAGAUGUCAAUCGCCGGAUCAACCAAAUCCCGCCACUCCGAUAACAGAAAAACCGACCGCCGCAAUCGGACGAAUAGGUUGGGCGUUAAGAACAUUACUUUUAAGUCAAAACACUUGUUUAAGAGAUCGAAAACCGUCAGGAAGAUUGGUUAGAAGAUGUGCCCCAGGAAAUGAACUGGUUGAUUGGCUUUUAGAGCUGUCGAGUUGCGUCCAUACGAGGGUUCAAGCGACGGGAAUGUGGCAAGCUUUGUUAGAAGAAGGCGUUAUAGCCCACGUUUCUAGGGAAAAACCGUUUAAAGAUAAAUGUUUCUUGUACCGUUUUUGGCAAGACGAAGACGGGUCAUCGACUUGUUUACCAACAUUAGAUGACGUGGCAACUGCAGAGGAUCACAUUAGAGAUUCUUUAGCUACUUUAAUCAAUCGGGGCCCAGAUGCAAUGUUAAGAAUGAUUUUGCGAAAACCAAGUCACGAAAGAACAAGUGACGAUUUAGAAACGAUUUACGACGAAUUAUUGCACGUUCGAGCUUUAGCACAUUUAACAAAUUCAGUUAAAAAAGAAUUAGCUGGAGUUAUUAUGUUUGAAAGUCAUCCUAGACCAAGCACAGUUCUUUUCCAUCAAGGCGAUGAAGGAAAAUCGUGGUUUAUUAUCUUAAGAGGUUCAGUCGACGUCGUUAUACACGGAAAAGGAACUGUAACGACUUUACAUGAAGGCGACGAUUUCGGAAAAUUAGCUUUAAUAAACGACGCUCCAAGGGCGGCAACAAUCGUUCUUCGCGAACAUAAUUGUCACUUUUUGCGUGUCGACAAAGAAGAUUUCAAUCGAAUUUUAAGAGACGUCGAAGCAAACACCGUUCGCUUAAAAGAACACGGAAGAGACGUUUUGAUUUUAGAAAAAAUCUCUUCUCAAUCGAAAUUGGCUCAUUUCAAAUAUACUGUAAUGGCUGGAACUCCGCAAAAAAUGUUAGAACAUCUUUUAGAAACACGAUUAGAUGGAAAAUCGGUAAAUUAUACGACGAACGAUUUUAUAUCGACAACGCAAGAUCCAUUUAUGGACGAUUUUUUAUUAACUCACAUCAUUUUUUUGCCGACUCACCGUUUAAUCGAUGAGUUAGAACGUUAUUAUCGGAUGGAGUCUUCGACGCAAGAUCGCGAUUUUAUGUUAUCAUGUAAACGACGUGUCGUCCAAUUCAUUUAUAAGUGGAUAUCGACGAUACGACAUCCGGUUUUCGAAGAUGAAUCGGUUACCGAGUUUUUAGAGGAUCUCGCCAAAGACUUGGAAUCGGAUUUUUUGCAUAAUUCGGCGUUACAAUCGGAAGCGUCUUUAAUGCACCAUGUUAUGACUCAAUUAAAGCGGUAUAAAGAUGAGCGGAAGUUACGAGAGGGGCAGAAAUGGAAACUUCCUACUAAUGGGCAACCAGUUAGUUUAUUUACGGGUUGUGACCCAGGAAAUAAUCGAACUGUUAUUAUGCCGCAAGAUGAUAUAAUUUUUAGGGUGUAUUGUGCAGAUCAUACUUAUUGUACUUUAAGAUUACCAGUUGAUGCAUCUGCUGAGACCAUAAAACUAUUCGCGGCGGAUAAAUUACAAAUGAGGCCGUGCGAAGAACUUUUAUUGGUUGAGGUUAAAUCAACCGGAGAAAGGGUAGUUUUUAAAGAUAACGAUAUCAGUAUUCCAACAGCUAUUAGUAUUAACAGUCGAAUUUUUGUUACACCAAAAGAUCAUUUAGAUGCUUUGACUUGUAUACCAGAACAAGAAGAAGCAACCCAAGGUGUUGAUGGCGACUUGGAACUGUUUAGUACAAAAGAAUUGGCUUAUUAUAUGACUUUAUUCGAUUGGGAUCUUUUUUGGUGCGUUCAUGAAUACGAGUUAUUAUAUCACACGUUUGGAAGGCAUCAUUUUGCGCAAAUAACGGCAAAUCUCGACGUUCUUAUUCGGCGAUUCAACGAAAUCCAAUUUUGGGUUGUCACAGAGUUGUGUUUAACGUCCAAUUUAAAUAAACGUGUUGCUGUUUUAAGAAAAUUUAUCAAAUUAGCUGCAUAUUGUAGAGAAUAUCAAAAUUUAAACGCAUUUUGCGCAAUAGUAAUGGGUUUAAGUAACGUGGCAAUAUCACGUUUAUCAUUAACUUGGGAUAAAUUGCCAUCGAAAUUCCGUAAAAUGUACAGCGAUUUCGAGGCGGUUAUCGACCCAAGUAGAAAUCAUCGCGCUUACCGAGUAAGUGUUGGAAAAUUGCAACCGCCGGUGGUUCCAUUUGUUCCACUCUUAUUAAAAGAUAUGACGUUUACGCACGAAGGCAACAAAACUUCGAUGGAAGGUUUGGUAAAUUUCGAAAAAAUGCACAUGUUAGCACAAACGAUGAGAACGUUGCGGUUUUGCAGAAGUAGACAUCUAGUUUUAGAACCGCCCUCACCAAAAAGUGAAGGUGAAAUAAAAUCGUACAUUUCGUGUUUACGGGUAAUAGACAAUCAAAGAAUCCUCACGAGCUUGUCGCAAAAAUUGGAGCCGAGGAGGUCAUAGUCAAUACCGGUCACUUUUAGGCACAGUUUGGCCGAAACGUUUAAUAAACUAACAGGACCAAGAAAUUAUUUUUAGCAACUACUAUUAAUUAAACAAAUGAGAUU
This 2976-nucleotide unclassified non-coding RNA is filed under the name Onthophagus taurus. RNAcentral describes it as "rap guanine nucleotide exchange factor 4, transcript variant X1". The record is from RNAcentral. Lineage: Eukaryota; Metazoa; Arthropoda; Insecta; Coleoptera; Scarabaeidae.